GAUGAACGCUGGCGGCGUGCCUAAUACAUGCAAGUAGAACGCUGAAGCUUGGUGCUUGCACCGAGCGGAAGAGUUGCGAACGGGUGAGUAACGCGUAGGUAACCUGCCUCUUAGCGGGGGAUAACUAUUGGAAACGAUAGCUAAUACCGCAUAAAAGUCGACAUUGCAUGAUGCUGACUUGAAAGGUGCAAAUGCAUCACUAAGAGAUGGACCUGCGUUGUAUUAGCUAGUUGGUGAGGUAACGGCUCACCAAGGCGACGAUACAUAGCCGACCUGAGAGGGUGAUCGGCCACACUGGGACUGAGACACGGCCCAGACUCCUACGGGAGGCAGCAGUAGGGAAUCUUCGGCAAUGGACGGAAGUCUGACCGAGCAACGCCGCGUGAGUGAAGAAGGUUUUCGGAUCGUAAAGCUCUGUUGUAAGAGAAGAACGAGUGUGAGAGUGGAAAGUUCACACUGUGACGGUAACUUACCAGAAAGGGACGGCUAACUACGUGCCAGCAGCCGCGGUAAUACGUAGGUCCCGAGCGUUAUCCGGAUUUAUUGGGCGUAAAGCGAGCGCAGGCGGUUAGAUAAGUCUGAAGUUAAAGGCUGUGGCUUAACCAUAGUACGCUUUGGAAACUGUUUAACUUGAGUGCAGAAGGGGAGAGUGGAAUUCCAUGUGUAGCGGUGAAAUGCGUAGAUAUAUGGAGGAACACCGGUGGCGAAAGCGGCUCUCUGGUCUGUAACUGACGCUGAGGCUCGAAAGCGUGGGGAGCAAACAGG
Molecule: ribosomal RNA, 765 nt
Filed under: uncultured Streptococcus sp.
Lineage: Bacteria; Bacillati; Bacillota; Bacilli; Lactobacillales; Streptococcaceae
Description: bacterial SSU rRNA
Rfam family: Bacterial small subunit ribosomal RNA
Source: RNAcentral